RNAcentral lists this ribosomal RNA (253 nucleotides) under uncultured bacterium. Its description in RNAcentral is "partial 16S ribosomal RNA". It matches the Rfam family "Bacterial small subunit ribosomal RNA", at positions 524 to 776 of the family's 1533-position model. The record is from RNAcentral.
UACGUAGGGUGCAAGCGUUGUCCGGAAUUAUUGGGCGUAAAGAGCUUGUAGGCGGUCUGUCGCGUCUGCUGUGAAAGUCGGGGGCUCAACCCUCGGAUGCCGGUGGAUACUGUCGGGCUUGAGUACGGAAGAGGCGAGUGGAAUUCCUGGUGUAGCGGUGAAAUGCUUAGAUAUGACAUAGAACACCAAUUGCGAAGGCAGCUCACUACACGAAUAUUGACACUGAGGCACGAAAGCGUGGGGAUCAAACAGG